GAUAGCAGUGCUGUUUACAACUAAUUGAUCAUAACCAGUUGCAGAUUCCUUUGUUCCUUCUCCACUCGCACUGCUUCACUU
Molecule: small RNA, 81 nt
Filed under: Prolemur simus (greater bamboo lemur)
Lineage: Eukaryota; Metazoa; Chordata; Mammalia; Primates; Lemuridae
Description: Y RNA (ENSPSMG00000015763.1)
Rfam family: Y RNA
About the family: Y RNAs are components of the Ro ribonucleoprotein particle (Ro RNP), in association with Ro60 and La proteins. The Y RNAs and Ro60 and La proteins are well conserved, but the function of the Ro RNP is not known.
Source: Rfam by way of RNAcentral